UGGUGGUGGAGGUGGUGCUCCAUACAUUGGAGGGGGUGGAGGAGGUGGUCCUCUCCCACCAGGAGGUGGUGGUGGUGGAGGUGGGAGAAGUGGGGCUCGACCACCAGGAGGAGGUGGGGCUCCAUACAUUGGAGGAGGUGGAGGAGGUGGUCCUCUCCCACUAGGAGGUGGUGGUGGUGGAGGUGGUGCUCCAUACAUUGGAGGAGGUGGGGGAGGUGGAGCUCCACUUGAUGGACGAAGGGGUGGUGGAGGUGGAGGUGGGGCUCCACUUGAUGGAGGAAGAGGUGGCGGUGGGGGAGGGGGGGCUCUAGACAAUGGAGGAGGUG
RNAcentral lists this long non-coding RNA (326 nucleotides) under Glycine max (soybean). Its description in RNAcentral is "long non-coding RNA (GMAX_LNC003855)". Lineage: Eukaryota; Viridiplantae; Streptophyta; Magnoliopsida; Fabales; Fabaceae. The record is from RNAcentral.